GGUGACAUAGCUCAGUGGUAGAGCACUUGUCUAGAAUGUGCAAGCCAGUGGGUUUGAUCCCCAGUACCACUA
RNAcentral lists this transfer RNA (72 nucleotides) under Cavia porcellus (domestic guinea pig). It matches the Rfam family "tRNA". From Rfam's summary of the family: Transfer RNA (tRNA) molecules are approximately 80 nucleotides in length. Lineage: Eukaryota; Metazoa; Chordata; Mammalia; Rodentia; Caviidae. The record is from Rfam by way of RNAcentral.